RNAcentral lists this long non-coding RNA (1930 nucleotides) under Fragaria vesca (wild strawberry). RNAcentral describes it as "long non-coding RNA (FVES_LNC003430)". Lineage: Eukaryota; Viridiplantae; Streptophyta; Magnoliopsida; Rosales; Rosaceae. The record is from RNAcentral.
ACUCACCAAGUUGCUCCCUGUCUAGAAACCUCUGCCCUUUAAACUUUACUUUUGCAAUACACCGUCUAACAAUGGCUGCAGCUCCAAGUGAGUCCAUACCCUCUGUAAAUAAGGCCUGGGUCUAUUCAGAGUAUGGAAAAACUUCUGAUGUUCUCAAGUUUGAUCCAAGUGUGGCUGUUCCUGAAAUUAAAGAGGAUCAGGUGCUGAUCAAGGUUGUUGCUGCUUCUCUUAACCCAGUUGAUUUUAAGAGGGCUCUUGGUUACUUCAAGGACACUGACUCUCCCCUACCUGUGAGUUCACCCCUCUUUCUUCUUUGAUUUUCCUCACUGCCUUUCUUUGUUAUUUGGGUUGUGAUUUAUGUAUUUGUUGAACCUUCCGAAAUUCAAUCCGAAGAUGGUAUCUUAAUUUCUCUUUCGGGCAGUGUGAAAUAUUGUUUGGUGCUGUUUGAUCUUUCUAUAGAACAAAAACGCCAAAUUAACGAUCAUUUAUUAUUAAUUACCACCGAUGAAGUUAAAUUUUUACAUCCUCCAUUGUUUAAUAAACAAAGACAUCAGAAAGUGUGAAAGGAUGAUACAUGUGCAAUAUGCAUAUUUAUUUAGUUUAAUUUGGUUUCCAAUUUGCAGACAGUUCCAGGUAUGAUCACAUUUCAUCUUAUAUUUUCUUGUAAGAACUAGGAACCUUUCUAUUUUCUUAUUGUUUCAAAAGAAGGUACCUGUAUUAGUAUGUGUGUUCAUUUAUUUCAUUUUGGUUUGCAGACAAUUCCAGGGUAUGAUGUAGCUGGUGUGGUGGUAAAGGUAGGAAGCCAAGUAACCAAGUUUAAGGUGGGGGAUGAAGUGUAUGGGGAUCUCAAUGAGACAGCAUUGGUGAACCCAACAAGGUUUGGGUCUUUGGCAGAGUACACUGCUGCAGAUGAAAGAGUAUUGGCUCACAAACCCAAAAACCUGAGCUUUAUUGAAGCUGCUAGCCUUCCCUUGGCUAUUGAAACUGCCCAUGAAGGGCUUGAAAGAGCUGAACUUUCUGCUGGUAAAUCCGUCCUUGUUUUGGGAGGCGCUGGGGGUGUUGGAACACAUAUUAUUCAGGUACAUUCUGAUUUCAUUAUCUUCCUACUUGGUUAAAUUUCAACAUGUAAUACUAUUUUUGGCUUCAAACAUUUAAAUUAAGGAUGUGUACUUUAAUGUGAUGCAGCUUGCAAAGCAUGUUUAUGGGGCUUCCAAAGUAGCAGCUACUGCAAGCACUAAGAAACUGGAUUUGUUGAGAACCUUGGGUGCUGAUUUGGCUAUCGAUUACACCAAGGAGAACUUCGAGGACCUGCCAGAGAAAUUUGAUGUAGUGUAUGAUGCAGUUGGUAAGAAUCUUCUGCUCCCUCUUGUUGUCUGCAUAAGCUUUUUCUGUAGCUAGUACAGUUAUCUUUUCUGUGUUGAUCUUUCGUUUAUCACUGGAAACCUAAAUAGAACAACUGAUGAUGGAGAGGGUGUAGAAUUAUCAUGCAUGGAUAAUCUUAUAUGGAUAUAAUCAAACUGAUCGAACAUUUGAAUGUAUCUAUAGCAAAUUAGCAAUGAAUGAAUUAGAAGACUUUAGCGACUGAUGUUGUAUUUGUAAAACAAAAAUAGGGGAGACAGAUAAGGCUGUGAAGGCGGUGAAAGAAGGUGGGAAGGUUGUAACAAUAGUAGGUCCAGCAACGCCACCGGCUAUCCUUUUUGUGCUUACCUCUAAAGGGUCUGUGUUGGAGAAACUGAAGCCUUACUUGGAGAGUGGGAAGGUGAAGCCAGUUCUUGAUCCCACAAGUCCAUAUCCCUUUACUAAAGUUGUUGAAGCAUUUGGUUACCUUGAGAGUUCCAGAGCUACCGGAAAGGUGGUUGUGUAUCCCAUCCCAUGAGGUUGAGAGUGUAUGUGUGAAUGAUCUAUGAGACUAUGAUUGUGUAGAGUCCAU